GGGGGGUUGGCUCAUGUUUUUGCAUCGAACUGCCAGACCUCAUCCUCUUCAAGCCUCAAGCAUUACUCUUAUGCUUGUUAGUUGACCGUGUUCCUGUAUUUGAUACCCAUGUUGGAGGAACUACGUUUAUGUUCUCCUUAAUCCUCUCGGUGCCUCUUAGGGCCAUCAAGAGGAGCACGCAGUUUGAUUCGUCGAACCGGGCAUGCCUAUUCGGUUGCAACGGUUGUCGCAUCAAAGCUUGUGUUCUCGGAUGCGGAAUAUUCGAUGGGCCCAAGGAUUGAAUCCUUGCAUUUGCCCUGUGUGGGAAAACGUCCCUUUAUAAGAACGACAUCCGUUGUGCGUUUCGAUCCAUCCGACGUCUGCUCGGGCUGAGGAUGCUUCGCGCGUGCACCGGUGUCCUCGAAGGAAUGCUACCUGGUUGAUCCUGCCAGUAGUCAUAUGCUUGUCUCAAAGAUUAAGCCAUGCAUG
RNAcentral lists this unclassified non-coding RNA (468 nucleotides) under Peixotoa hispidula. RNAcentral describes it as "partial contains external transcribed spacer and 18S ribosomal RNA". The stretch from base 412 to 468 matches the Rfam family "Eukaryotic small subunit ribosomal RNA", at positions 1 to 57 of the family's 1831-position model. Lineage: Eukaryota; Viridiplantae; Streptophyta; Magnoliopsida; Malpighiales; Malpighiaceae. The record is from RNAcentral.